Molecule: long non-coding RNA, 454 nt
Organism: Panonychus citri (citrus red mite)
Lineage: Eukaryota; Metazoa; Arthropoda; Arachnida; Trombidiformes; Tetranychidae
Exons: 4
Source: RefSeq, a predicted model, not a curated record
UUGAACAAGGGUACAGUUAAAGAACCUGAAAGCGUCGUACUUUGGGAUAAUCAAGUCGAUUUGACUGAAGGUAAUUUCUCUGGUGGAUCUUAUUAUGAUAUAAUUGAAGAUGAAGAGCCCGUUUCAUUCAACAUCAAUCAAGACGGUAAACAAGCCACUUUCUGGAUGCCCUACUACUCCGAGGACUGGACCGCUGUCUUGGCUUCUUGCUCAUCAAAUGGUGAUGGUACUCUUGAUGUCAAGGCUUGGUAUGUGUCUCGAGCACAAUCGAAGAAGAUCUCAAGUGAAGUCCAAGAAAUCGCCAAAUCAUUGACUGGUACAAGUUUCGUAGAAACUUGUCAACAAGCUUUAUGUUAAUCAUUCAAUUAUUUUAAAUCAAAAUAUUUUGUUUAAUUAACGCGAGUAAUAAACUUGAAUCGUAUUCAGCAUUGAUAAAUAAAUGUUUUCUCAUUCA